GACGAACGCUGGCGGCGUGCUUAACACAUGCAAGUCGAGCGGUAAGGCCCUUUCGGGGGUACACGAGCGGCGAACGGGUGAGUAACACGUGGGUGACCUGCCCUCAGCUCUGGGAUAAGCCUGGGAAACCGGGUCUAAUACUGGAUAUGACUCCAUGACGCAUGUUGUGGGGUGGAAAGCCUUGUGCGGCUGAGGAUGGGCCCGCGGCCUAUCAGCUUGUUGGUGGGGNGAUGGCCUACCAAGGCGACGACGGGUAGCCGGCCUGAGAGGGCGACCGGCCACACUGGGGCUGAGACACGGCCCAGACUCCUACGGGAGGCAGCAGUGGGGAAUCUUGCGCAAUGGGCGAAAGCCUGACGCAGCGACGCCGCGUGAGGGAUGACGGCCUGGU
This 391-nucleotide ribosomal RNA is filed under the name uncultured bacterium. RNAcentral describes it as "bacterial SSU rRNA". It matches the Rfam family "Bacterial small subunit ribosomal RNA", at positions 28 to 420 of the family's 1533-position model. The record is from RNAcentral.